This 380-nucleotide unclassified non-coding RNA is filed under the name uncultured bacterium. RNAcentral describes it as "contains 16S-23S intergenic spacer region". The record is from RNAcentral.
UCCGGCUUAUCACCGGCAGUUUCUUUAGAGUGCCCAACUAAAUGGUGGCAACUAAAGACGAGGGUUGCGCUCGUUGCGGGACUUAACCCAACACCUCACGGCACGAGCUGACGACAGCCGUGCAGCACCUGCGCAGGCUCCCUUGCGGGUCGCUCGGGUUUCCCCUCGCUACCACCUGCAUGUCAAGUCCGGGUAAGGUUCUUCGCGUUGCAUCGAAUUAAACCACACGCUCCGCUGCUUGUGCGGGCCCCCGUCAAUUCCUUUGAGUUUUAGCCUUGCGGCCGUACUCCCCAGGCGGAGUGCUUAAUGCGUUAGCUGCGGCACAGAGAGGGUUGAAGACCUCCCCACACCUAGCACUCAACGUUUACGGCUGGGACUAC